AAUAGAUACCCAGGUAGUCCACGCCGUAAACGAUGAGUGCUAAGUGUUAGGGGGUUUCCGCCCCUUAGUGCUGCAGCUAACGCAUUAAGCACUCCGCCUGGGGAGUACGACCGCAAGGUUGAAACUCAAAGGAAUUGACGGGGACCCGUACAAGCGGUGGAGCAUGUGGUUUAAUUCGAAGCAACGCGAAGAACCUUACCAAAUCUUGACAUCCUUUGACCGCUCUAGAGAUAGAGUCUUCCCCUUCGGGGGACAAAGUGACAGGUGGUGCAUGGUUGUCGUCAGCUCGUGUCGUGAGAUGUUGGGUUAAGUCCCGCAACGAGCGCAACCCUUAAGCUUAGUUGCCAUCAUUAAGUUGGGCACUCUAGGUUGACUGCCGGUGACAAACCGGAGGAAGGUGGGGAUGACGUCAAAUCAUCAUGCCCCUUAUGAUUUGGGCUACACACGUGCUACAAUGGAUAAUACAAAGGGCAGCGAAUCCGCGAGGCCAAGCAAAUCCCAUAAAAUUAUUCUCAGUUCGGAUUGUAGUCUGCAACUCGACUA
RNAcentral lists this ribosomal RNA (543 nucleotides) under uncultured bacterium. RNAcentral's name for it is "bacterial SSU rRNA". It matches the Rfam family "Bacterial small subunit ribosomal RNA", at positions 777 to 1318 of the family's 1533-position model. The record is from RNAcentral.